CCACAACCUACAGUAAGCACCCCUGGAGUCACACCACCAAGCCAACACUGUGGUAAGUAUAGGACUGUCAGAGAAAGUACAUGACACAACACAGAGAGGCUAGUUAGGUCACACACAAGACAACACAGAGGCUAGUUUAGGUCACUAACAAGACAACACAGAGGCUAGUUUAGGUCACUAACAAGACAACACAGAGGCUAGUUUAGGUCACUAACAAGACAACACAGAGGCUAGUUUAGGUCACUAACAAGACAACACAGAGGCUAGUUUAGGUCACUAACAAGACAACACAGAGGCUAGUUUAGGUCACUAACAGGACAACACAGAGGCUAGUUUAGGUCACUAACAAGACAACACAGAGGCUAGUUUAGGUCACUAACAAGACAACACAGAGGCUAGUUUAGGUCACUAACAAGACAACACAGAGGCUAAUUUAGGUCACUAACAAGACAACACAGAGGCUAGUUAGGUCACUAACAAGACAACACAGAGGCUAGUUUAGGUCACUAACAAGACAACAUAGAGGCUAGUUUAGCUCACAAAAGACAACAUUUGCUCUAUAUUGAAGAACAGACAAUGUAAGUGAACUGUGCAUGGAGGCCAUUUUUCAUUAUGUGAUCCAUUUGUUUUUUUCUGUCGUGGAAGGUUGAGUUUAAUUGGAUUCAAUUGAAUGCAAGAGCUGCCUCCUG
RNAcentral lists this long non-coding RNA (689 nucleotides) under Salmo salar (Atlantic salmon). Its description in RNAcentral is "lncRNA (ENSSSAG00000093171.1)". Lineage: Eukaryota; Metazoa; Chordata; Actinopteri; Salmoniformes; Salmonidae. The record is from RNAcentral.